RNAcentral lists this ribosomal RNA (497 nucleotides) under uncultured bacterium. Its description in RNAcentral is "partial 16S ribosomal RNA". It matches the Rfam family "Bacterial small subunit ribosomal RNA", at positions 28 to 507 of the family's 1533-position model. The record is from RNAcentral.
GAUGAACGCUGGCGGCGUGCCUAAUACAUGCAAGUCGAGCGAACGGACGAGAAGCUUGCUUCUCUGAUGUUAGCGGCGGACGGGUGAGUAACACGUGGACAACCUACCUAUAAGACUGGGAUAACUUCGGGAAACCGGAGCUAAUACCGGAUAAUAUUUUGAACCGCAUGGUUCAAAAGUGAAAGACGGUCUUGCUGUCACUUAUAGAUGGACCCGCGCUGCAUUAGCUAGUUGGUAAGGUAACGGCUUACCAAGGCAACGAUGCAUAGCCGACCUGAGAGGGUGAUCGGCCACACUGGAACUGAGACACGGUCCAGACUCCUACGGGAGGCAGCAGUAGGGAAUCUUCCGCAAUGGGCGAAAGCCUGACGGAGCAACGCCGCGUGAGUGAUGAAGGUCUUCGGAUCGUAAAACUCUGUUAUUAGGGAAGAACAUAUGUGUAAGUAACUGUGCACAUCUUGACGGUACCUAAUCAGAAAGCCACGGCUAACUACGUG